GCUUCAGAUUGAAUUCUAACUAUCGAAUAGCGUAAAAUCUCUCCUUAACAAAGUCGAGAUAAAUAGCAACUGUUGGAUCGAGUGAUGGAUGGAAUCUAAGCCAUCGGAUCGUAUCCAGAAAUCCUAUUCAAAGUAGAAAAUGAUGCUGGCCAUUGGAUCUAAGUUCAGAUUGAUUUUCAGCCAUUGGAUCGUGCAAAACCUUCCACCUCACUUGUGAGCCAUGUCGUGCACCGUAAAACUAUUCC
RNAcentral lists this long non-coding RNA (245 nucleotides) under Elaeis guineensis (African oil palm). Its description in RNAcentral is "long non-coding RNA (EGUI_LNC000038)". The record is from RNAcentral. Lineage: Eukaryota; Viridiplantae; Streptophyta; Magnoliopsida; Arecales; Arecaceae.